AGUGAACGCUGGCGGUAGGCCUAACACAUGCAAGUCGAACGGCAGCACAGUAAGAGCUUGCUCUUACGGGUGGCGAGUGGCGGACGGGUGAGGAAUACAUCGGAAUCUACUUUUUCGUGGGGGAUAACGUAGGGAAACUUACGCUAAUACCGCAUACGACCUACGGGUGAAAGCAGGGGAUCUUCGGACCUUGCGCGAUUGAAUGAGCCGAUGUCGGAUUAGCUAGUUGGCGGGGUAAAGGCCCACCAAGGCGACGAUCCGUAGCUGGUCUGAGAGGAUGAACCGCCACACUGGAACUGAGACACGGUCCAGACUCCUACGGGAGGCAGCAGUGGGGAAUAUUGGACAAUGGGCGGAAGCCUGAUCCAGCCAUACCGCGUGGGGGAAGAAGGCCUUCGGGUUGUAAAGCCCUUUUGUUGGGAAAGAAAAGCAGCAGGUUAAUACCCCGCUGUUCUGACGGUAACCAAAGAAUAAGCACCGGCUAACUUCGUG
This 492-nucleotide ribosomal RNA is filed under the name uncultured bacterium. Its description in RNAcentral is "partial 16S ribosomal RNA". It matches the Rfam family "Bacterial small subunit ribosomal RNA", at positions 29 to 507 of the family's 1533-position model. The record is from RNAcentral.